GGCACCGUGGCAGAGUGGUUAAUGCGUAGGUCUUGAAUCCAUUGAGAACCUAUCCCUUAGGGGUCGCGCGUUCGAAUCGCGUCGGUGUCG
Molecule: non-coding RNA, 90 nt
Organism: Arthroderma uncinatum
Lineage: Eukaryota; Fungi; Ascomycota; Eurotiomycetes; Onygenales; Arthrodermataceae
Source: the annotation of a RefSeq genome assembly